AGUGAACGCUGGCGGUAGUCCUAACACAUGCAAGUCGAACGGCAGCACAGUAAGAGCUUGCUCUUACGGGUGGCGAGUGGCGGACGGGUGAGGAAUACAUCGGAAUCUACUUUUUCGUGGGGGAUAACGUAGGGAAACUUACGCUAAUACCGCAUACGACCUACGGGUGAAAGCAGGGGAUCUUCGGACCUUGCGCGAUUGAAUGAGCCGAUUUCAGUUUAGCUAGUUGGCGGGGUAAAGGCCCACCAAGGCGACGAUCCGUAGCUGGUCUGAGAGGAUGAUCAGCCACACUGAAACUGAGAAACGGUCAAGACUCCUACAGGACGAAGCAGUGGGGAAUAUUGGACAAUGGGCGCAAGCCUGAUACAGCCAUACCGCGUGGGUGAAGAAGGCCUUCGGGUUGUAAAGCCCUUUUGUUGGGAAAGAAAAGCAGCAGGUUAAUAACCCGCUGUUCUGACGGUACCCAAAGAAUAAGCACCGGCUAACUUCGUG
RNAcentral lists this ribosomal RNA (492 nucleotides) under uncultured bacterium. RNAcentral's name for it is "partial 16S ribosomal RNA". It matches the Rfam family "Bacterial small subunit ribosomal RNA", at positions 29 to 507 of the family's 1533-position model. The record is from RNAcentral.